This 116-nucleotide small nuclear RNA is filed under the name Octodon degus (degu). RNAcentral's name for it is "U12 minor spliceosomal RNA (ENSODEG00000020906.1)". It matches the Rfam family "U12 minor spliceosomal RNA". Rfam says of the family: Although the U12 sequence is very divergent from that of U2, the two are functionally analogous. The record is from Rfam by way of RNAcentral. Lineage: Eukaryota; Metazoa; Chordata; Mammalia; Rodentia; Octodontidae.
AGGGCUUAAACUUAAGAGUAAGGAAAAUAACGGUUUGUGGUGGUGUCCAAAUCAUUACUGCGAGCAUGAGAUGUAUUUUUGAGCAGGUAAAGAUUGCCCCUAAGGUGACCAACCUG